Long non-coding RNA from Ictalurus punctatus (channel catfish), 2155 nucleotides. NCBI's taxonomy places the organism in Eukaryota, Metazoa, Chordata, Actinopteri, Siluriformes, Ictaluridae. The record is from Ensembl.
UAAAACCCUUGGUGGUGUGCUGUUAGAGGAAAAUAAUCAAUGUUCUGGAGGUGUGAAGCGAAGUUACUAUACUAUUACUGCAAAGGCUAUACACUUAUAAAAGCAGUGUUUAAUACCACAAGGAUUCACUCAUUUUUAGCUGAUUUAUUAUUAAAGAACACCACUUUGUGAUUUUUAUCCAUUUAUAGUUACACUUGUGGAAGAUCCAUGAGACAAGUCUGUACCUGUUAUCACUUACGUUACAGCAGCUACAAACCUUCAUUCUCUCUUUAAUAAGGGAAACAGAUGCAGCUUGGGAUGUUACAGAGAAACCGUGAAACACAAAGACUGGCCUGUGUUGUAAAACUUUGGAACUGACUGUAACAAAGUGCUGACACGAGAGACUCCUUCCAUCAAUGUGAAAUAUACCGUAUGUCUACUUACUGAAAACUUCCCCAUAUCAAUGCUUAUACGCUUUUCGUCGUCAAAUAACGUUUUUUUUAUUUUUUUUUUAUCUGUUUAUUAUUAGUCUUAGAUUAUGACGAGCGUCCAACAUACAAGUCCCUGUGAAUGAGUUGUUACUAUAAAACGAUAACGUGUUAGAGCGAGCGCAUGAGUAUAGACUGUGAUUUGCCUUGUAGUGGUCGGCACUACUGUCAGAGCUGCUGUUCAAUUGACCUUCAAAUGAAUCCAAUCCUUCAGACCUUCAGAUUCAAGAAUUUAAUGCUUGAAGACUGAAUAAUCUGUGAGAAUAAAUGUGUUUUUAAAUGGAAAGCACUGCAUGAUGAUUGCUAGUCUUGGGACAGCAACAAAAAUGGCCUGAUUGAACUUUCAAGAUCAGUCAGUGCGUUUACACGGACAACAAUAAUCCGAUAUUAACCCGAUUAAGACGAUACUCUGAUUAAGAAACUAGCAUGUAAACAGCGAUUAUUGAUGACCUUAAUCCGAUUAAAGUCAUACUCGAAGUAAACACAAAUGGAAUUAAGACGUGUGGAGUACUCCUGUUUUAGUCGCGUUAUCGACGUGUAUAACAGACGUGUACACGCCUUAAUCACGCUAUUAACAUCGUGUGAGAGUUUUCACCGCAUUGUGCGACAGGACACGUACACACACGACAGCGCUCAACCGUUUGACGGCAAACAAGAGUACGGCUGCGUCCCAAACCGCAUACUUACCUAGUAGGAGAAAUACAUGUAUCUAUGCGACGAUAUAGACGGUAAGUACACGGUUUGGGACGCAGCCCACGGCUUGAAGCAGUCGUCUAUUAGCACGUACAGCACGACGAAUAAUUAACCGCACUUGAAGCUUACGUCAAAUUAAAAAUGUAUAAACUGUAUACGGUUCCAUAACGAAGACCAAGUGUAUGUUGAUACGUGAAAUUCUGGAGGGAUGGCGUGGCGUGGGGACGUAAUGACGUGUGCUUUAAUCCGUCUAUGUUCUAUAACACGUAAAACCUGAACAGGAAAGGGGUAUUCUAAAAGCGACUCAUGUAAACACCUUAAUCAGAAUACUGUCUUAUUCAGAAUAAGGUCAGUAAUUAGAUUACUGCUGUCCAUGUAAAUGUAGUCAUUGAGAACAAACAAGUGCCUUCUGUGGAAGUGGAGACUUCGCUGUAGUUUCGCCCUUAUUUCGCUGUUUAGUGCUGAGUGCCUGGGUCUUUAUCUCGAGAUGGCGUGUACGUGGACAGCUCCCUACUGAACGGACUGAGUGAAUAUUACACUGCCUUAACCCUCUUGGGCAUGGAGUUCACCAGAGCUUCACGGGUUGCCACUGGAGUCCUCUUCCACUCCUCCAUGACGACAUCACGGAGCUGGUGGAUGUCAGAGACCUUGUGCUGCUCCACCUUCCGUUUGAGGAUGCCCCACAGAUGCUCAAUAGGGUUUCGGUCUGGAGACAUGCUUGGCCAGUGCAUCACCUUCACCCUCAGCUUCUUUAGCAAGGCAGUGGUCGUCUUGGAGGUGUGUUUGGGGUCGUUAUCAUGCUGGAAUACUGCAUACUGAUCAUGCUCUGCUUCAGUAUGUCACAGUACAUGUUGGCAUUCAUGGUUCCCUCAGUGAACUGUAGCUCCCCAGUGCCGGCAGCACUCAUGCAGCCCCAGACCAUGACACUCCCACCACCAUGCCUGACUGUAGGCAAGACACACUUGUCUUUGUACUCCUCACCUGGUUGCUGCCAC